RNAcentral lists this long non-coding RNA (416 nucleotides) under Homo sapiens (human). Its description in RNAcentral is "HSALNT0316194". Lineage: Eukaryota; Metazoa; Chordata; Mammalia; Primates; Hominidae. The record is from RNAcentral.
GGAAGACAGUGAUACUGGUGAUCAUGCAUGUUACUGCCCCCGUCUCCCUGCGAGACAGAGUGUCACUGUAUUGCCCAGGCUGGAAUGGAGUGGUGUAAUCUUGGCUCACUGCAACCUCCGCCUUCUGGGGGUUCAAGCGAUUCUCAUGCCUCAGCCUCCCGAGCAGGCGCACAACACCACGCCCGGCUAAUUUUUGUAUUUUUAGUAGAGAUGGGGUUUUGCUAUGUUGGCCAGGCUGGUCUGACACUCCUAGCCUCAAGUCUGGUCUGCCUGUCCUGGCCUCUCAAAGUACUAGGAUUACAGGCAUGAGCCACCGCACCCAGUCCUGAUUUUAUCUCUUGAUCAUCUGGAUUAAACUGUACCAGAAGACACUCCUGGGACUUUUGGAUUGCGCAAACAAAUAAAUUUUUUCUUUU